This 1443-nucleotide long non-coding RNA is filed under the name Piliocolobus tephrosceles (Ugandan red Colobus). Its description in RNAcentral is "lncRNA (ENSPTEG00000007989.1)". The record is from RNAcentral. Lineage: Eukaryota; Metazoa; Chordata; Mammalia; Primates; Cercopithecidae.
CAUAUUUAAAAGAACAAACAAUCAAUGAAAAAAAACAAAUAGAUAUAUUAAAAAAUAUUGAUAUAUAUCCAAUGUAUUCUUAUGAUUAUUAUUUUUCGAAAAAUUCGAUUGUUGAAUAUGGCUAUAGCAGUGAACACGAUAAAAAAAAAAAAAAAAAAAAAUUAUAAUAGCUUUUCAGUUAUGUUUAAGGUGUGUAAAAAACAGUUUAAUUAUUAUGGUUUUAUAUUCAACUUCUAGCAUGGAAAAAGAGGAUUAUGAAGAUGACGAGUGUUAUAAUAGUGGCAAUGGUGGUAGUAGUAGUAGCGGUAGUAGUAGUAGUAGUAGUGGUGGCAUCCGUAGUAACAUAAGAAAUAAAAAAAAAGCUGGUAAAAAAGAAAAAGCAAACAAAAAAAAAGGUACAAACCGUAAGCGUAACGACGGUGUAAACAAAAAUUAUUCGCAUUCCUCUAAAACAGAUGCUAACGUAUUUUCCAAUUCAUGCGAAAUAGAUCUAUAUAAUAAACAAUUUGAUUUGAAUAGUGGUGAUAAAAAUAUAUUCAAACGUAAUACAUUUUUUAUAAAUAAUUUAUAUGAUAGUUUGAAGUGUCAAUUAUUGUGUGUUUUAUUAUUUAAAGAUUUGUUUGAAAAUGAUUAUAUACGUCAUAUUUAUUUUACCAAACUAAAGAAACAAAAAUGUCAUAAUAAGUAUGGAUAUGAUUUUAAUUUAUAUUGUUUAAGUGAUGAAGGAAUUUUAUAUAUUUUUAUAUGUACUAUGUCAUUAAAUAAUAUAUUUAUUGAAAAUAAAUUUGAUAUAGAAAUAAAAAAGUAUUAUUUUUUACAGUUUACAAAACCAUACAACUAUUAUCAAAUAAAAGUUAUUAAUUGUACAGAAAAAUAUUUACAUUUUGUAUUAGAUCAAAGUUUUAUGAACAUGUUAAUAUAUAAUAAUAAAAAAGAGCAUGAGACAAAUGGUGAUAUCGAUAAAAAUUAUUUAUUUAAUGAAAAGAACUCAUGUUGUAAUGGAUGGUCUUCUAUGUAUAAUACACAAAAUGAAUAUGUAAACAAAAAACAAGAGGAAAGAAAUACGUUUUGUGAUAGUAACAUAUUAAGGAAUAACACAAAGUGCUAUAAUGGUUAUAGUUAUAUACAAUAUAAUAAUUAUAUAUACACAUUUCUCAUUAUUAUUAAUAAAUAUGACUUUAUAAUUAUUAGUUUAAGAAAAAAAAAAAAAGGUCCUGAUGAUGCGAAGGAAGUAAUACAUUUUUCUUCAACAAGUAAUAUAAAUUAUGAUGAGAAUGCUAUUUCUAAUGUUGUAAUAAAUAAAUGUGGAUUUGAAAUGUUUGACAGAGGUAAAGAUAGAAAUAGUAAUAGAUAUAGUAGUGGGGAUGCAUCCAAAGACGUUAACGAAAGUGCAUGUAAAAGGGAUGGUACGUAUCUACUUGAAAACACAUUUUGUUUAUUUGA